AAGAGAGGAGCUUGCUCUUCUUGGAUGAGUUGCGAACGGGUGAGUAACGCGUAGGUAACCUGCCUUGUAGCGGGGGAUAACUAUUGGAAACGAUAGCUAAUACCGCAUAACAAUGGAUGACACAUGUCAUUUAUUUGAAAGGGGCAAUUGCUCCACUACAAGAUGGACCUGCGUUGUAUUAGCUAGUAGGUGAGGUAAUGGCUCACCUAGGCGACGAUACAUAGCCGACCUGAGAGGGUGAUCGGCCACACUGGGACUGAGACACGGCCCAGACUCCUACGGGAGGCAGCAGUAGGGAAUCUUCGGCAAUGGGGGCAACCCUGACCGAGCAACGCCGCGUGAGUGAAGAAGGUUUUCGGAUCGUAAAGCUCUGUUGUAAGUCAAGAACGGGUGUGAGAGUGGAAAGUUCACACUGUGACGGUAGCUUACCAGAAAGGGACGGCUAACUACGUGCCAGCAGCCGCGGUAAUACGUAGGUCCCGAGCGUUGUCCGGAUUUAUUGGGCGUAAAGCGAGCGCAGGCGGUUUGAUAAGUCUGAAGUUAAAGGCUGUGGCUCAACCAUAGUUCGCUUUGGAAACUGUCAAACUUGAGUGCAGAAGGGGAGAGUGGAAUUCCAUGUGUAGCGGUGAAAUGCGUAGAUAUAUGGAGGAACACCGGUGGCGAAAGCGGCUCUCUGGUCUGUAACUGACGCUGAGGCUCGAAAGCGUGGGGAGCGAACAGGAUUAGAUACCCUGGUAGUCCACGCCGUAAACGAUGAGUGCUAGGUGUUGGAUCCUUUCCGGGAUUCAGUGCCGCAGCUAACGCAUUAAGCACUCCGCCUGGGGAGUACGACCGCAAGGUUGAAACUCAAAGGAAUUGACGGGGGCCCGCACAAGCGGUGGAGCAUGUGGUUUAAUUCGAAGCAACGCGAAGAACCUUACCAGGUCUUGACAUCCCGAUGCUAUUUCUAGAGAUAGAAAGUUACUUCGGUACAUCGGUGACAGGUGGUGCAUGGUUGUCGUCAGCUCGUGUCGUGAGAUGUUGGGUUAAGUCCCGCAACGAGCGCAACCCCUAUUGUUAGUUGCCAUCAUUCAGUUGGGCACUCUAGCGAGACUGCCGGUAAUAAACCGGAGGAAGGUGGGGAUGACGUCAAAUCAUCAUGCCCCUUAUGACCUGGGCUACACACGUGCUACAAUGGUUGGUACAACGAGUUGCGAGUCGGUGACGGCGAGCUAAUCUCUUAAAGCCAAUCUCAGUUCGGAUUGUAGGCUGCAACUCGCCUACAUGAAGUCGGAAUCGCUAGUAAUCGCGGAUCAGCACGCCGCGGUGAAUACGUUCCCGGGCCUUGUACACACCGCCCGUCACACCACGAGAGUUUGUAACACCCGAAGUCGGUGAGGUAACCUGUGGAGCCAGCCGCCUAAGGUGGGACAGAUGACUGGGGUAAGUCG
Molecule: ribosomal RNA, 1430 nt
Filed under: Streptococcus thermophilus
Lineage: Bacteria; Bacillati; Bacillota; Bacilli; Lactobacillales; Streptococcaceae
Description: bacterial SSU rRNA
Rfam family: Bacterial small subunit ribosomal RNA
Source: RNAcentral